RNAcentral lists this long non-coding RNA (765 nucleotides) under Dasypus novemcinctus (nine-banded armadillo). RNAcentral's name for it is "lncRNA (ENSDNOG00000052560.1)". The record is from RNAcentral. Lineage: Eukaryota; Metazoa; Chordata; Mammalia; Cingulata; Dasypodidae.
GCUGACCGGAGAGGAGGUGAAGGAUGCCCACGAGAAACCUGUUGUUCUAAGGGGAGCGGGUGCGGGCCCCGGCCCAAUGGCGUUGCCUGCCCGGCCCUGUGGGUGCCCUGGGCCCAGCCGAGCUUUCACGGGGGACAUGCUUUCACUUUUGUCAACAUCGUUGCUCGUACUCUUGGCUUCUCUGUUUAUUAUCCCCCUAGACUGGUGCUGUGUGGACACGCUAAGGAAACAGAAUGAGCCCCCAGCCUGAGCCUGUGGCCUGGGGCAGGAACCCUUUCACCUGGAUAACCACUGAGAGAUAAUUAUCACCACUUCCUCCACCCCUGCCCCCCAAUCUCAUGGUUGCUCUUCUUUACUUCCCUUUUGCAAAUGGGGGAGGAAGAAGAAAUGAAUCCCACACUUUUAAGGAAAAUAAUGAAGCAGGUUGAUGCUUCACGUAUUGUUUAGUAGGUAAAGUUAUCUACUCACCAAAAGAUUAGUAGAAAAGAUAAAAUCUGUUAAGGAAUGGGUUUCUAAAACAUAUAAAGAAUAUUUCAAAGUGAAAUGUUGUUUGUUUGUUUUUCCAAUCUUAAAGCCUGAAUUUUUUUGUUUUUGAGGUAGAGGUUGGGGAUUGAACCCUGGACCUUAUGUGUGGGAAGCCAGCACUCAACCACCGAGCCACAUUGGCUCCCCUAUGUUGGUUUUUUCACUUGUCUCUUUGUUGUUGUUCUUUUCAAAGGAGGCACCGGGAACCAAACCUGGGGCCUCCUAUAUGGGAAGCAGGUC